Molecule: ribosomal RNA, 397 nt
Filed under: uncultured bacterium
Lineage: Bacteria
Description: bacterial SSU rRNA
Rfam family: Bacterial small subunit ribosomal RNA
Source: RNAcentral
GCCCCGGCUAACUACGUGCCAGCAGCCGCGGUAAUACGUAGGGGGCGAGCGUUGUCCGGAAUGAUUGGGUGUAAAGGGUACGCAGGCGGUCUAUUAAGUUUGGCGUGAAAGCCCGGGGCUUAACUCCGGCAAGCGUUGAAAACUGGAGGGCUUGAGUGAUGGAAGGGACAGUGGAAUUCCUGGUGUAGUGGUGAAAUGCGCAGAGAUCAGGAAGAAUACCAGUGGCGAAGGCGACUGUCUGGACAUUAACUGACGCUGAGGUACGAAAGCGUGGGGAGCAAACAGGAUCAGAUACCCUGGUAGUCCACGCUGUAAACGAUGAGUGCAAGGUGUUGGGGGUCAAACCUCGGUGCCGCCGUUAACACAGUAAGCACUCCGCCUGGGGAGUACGUACGCA